Hydractinia symbiolongicarpus is the source of this 3816-nucleotide RNA transcript. It is a transcript of the gene named short-chain dehydrogenase/reductase family 16C member 6-like, with no coding region annotated. The record is from RefSeq and is a predicted model, not a curated record. The transcript is spliced from 5 exons. Lineage: Eukaryota; Metazoa; Cnidaria; Hydrozoa; Anthoathecata; Hydractiniidae.
AAAUCUUUGUACAACUUUAUUUCUGGUCACAACGAAUUUAUUACUAAUCUCCCAGAAUGAAAAAAAGAACAGUUUCAUGCUGAAGUUAUAAAAUUGAAAAAUAUACAGUUAUAACAGAUGUGUGGAUAUACAGAUAUAUGGAUAUGUGGAUUUUAAGAUAUAUGGAUUUGUGGAUGUACAGAUGUAUGGAUGUGCAGAUAUGGAUAUGUGGAUAUACAGAUAUAUGGAUGUACAGAUAUGGAUAUGUGGAUAUACAGACAUAUGGAUGUACAGAUAUGGAUAUGUGGAUAUACAGAAUGAAAUGGUUAACAAUUACUACUAGAAGAUUUUUGACGCAAGGCAUAUCAUGUAUCUCCCGUGACGAAAAAGGAUAUAUUCUUCUACGAGUGCAUGCUAAACCUGGGGCAAAGAAAAACAAAAUUGCAGGAUGUAUCCUUGUUUUAUACGACAUCGAUGAGAAAAAUGUGCACGAACUUGCUAAUUCAUUAAAUUCAAACAAUAAAAAAACAGUAGCAUACGCGUAUAAAUGCGACAUAACCAAUCACAAUGAAGUAGAAAGUGUGUCAAACCACGUGAUCAACAACAUAGGGCAUCCAACAAUGCUUAUCAACAAUGCAGGCGUAGUGGCGGGAAAGUAUUUCACAGAAUUGACAAGCGCUGAUAUAUCGCGUACAUUUGAAGUGAAUGUGAUUUCGCACUAUACCUUAGUGAAGACAUUUUUACCGCACAUGUUAGAACAGAAUCAUGGUCAUAUUGUUUGUGUAUCCUCCAUUUUAGCCUUGGAUUCUUUAAGUGGCGUUUCAGAUUAUGGUCCAUCUAAAGCAGCAGCGUCUGUUUUCAUGCGUGCAUUGAGACAAGAAAUUCGAUUGCUUGGAAAAAAUAUCCAUUGUACAUCUAUAUUUCCAUACCAAAUCCACACUGAUAUGUUCAAAGGUUGCGCUGCACGAUUCUCAUAUGUACCAUUUUUAAACGUCCUCGAUCCGGAUUACGUAACAACAAAGAUGGUAGACGCUAUACAAAAAAACCAAAUCGUGCUUUACAUACCAAGAAUUUUAUACGCAGCAAUUGCUGUUAUGAAUGUAUUGCCAGUGUGUGCAUACGAUGCUUUAUAUGACUUUCUUCACACGAACACUGCUAUGAGAACAUGGGUGGGAAAAGGAAAGAAAGAAGAGUAGAAAAAAGCUGGACUGGUUUGUUUUUAUCAGUAAACAUGUUGCUUCCCGAAAUAGCUUCACAAUAUCUUUCAACAACAAAGUCAAAACGUGAAUAUCUAUGCCGAUAAAAAUGAUGCAAAAUGGAGCACUCCAUCGUCGAGCCCCAGUAACCCCCAGGGAAUCCUCAAUGAAGAAAUACCGAUAAUAAUAUAUCUUACAUGUAUUAUAAUUUUUAUAAAAUGAUUUUAAUACAAAUACAAAAGAGAUUUUUAAAAUUGAAUGUAUGAAAAACAUUAGUAAAGUAAGAUUGAACAUUAUUACGCUGCGGACAAUAUUAGAGCUAGCGCUAAAAGUGACUACAGCUGGCUAAAUUUAAAUACGGUUGCCAAAAUAAGGUACGGCUAGAUAAUAUUAAGGUACGGCUGGGUCUUAUCAUAUAAGAAACAAUUUCAAAUGCUAAAAACGUUCAAUAAAAACGAAAUUAUGUUAGGUACGGGUAGCCAAAAUAAGGUACGGCUGGAAAAUAUUAAGGUACGGCUGGGUCCUAUCAUAUAAGAAACAACUUCAAAUGCUACAAAUGUUCAAUAAAAACGAAAUUAUGUUAGGUACGGCUAGUCAAAAUAAGGUACGGCUGGACCAUAUUAAGGUACGGCUGGGUCCUAUCAUAUAAGAAACAACUUCAAAAGCUAAAAACAUUCAAUAAAAACAAAAUUAAGUUAGGUACGGCUAACCAAAAUAAGGUACGGCUGGACAAUAUUAAGGUACGGCUGGGACCUAUCAUAUAAGAAACAACUUCAAAUGCUAAAAACGUUCAAUAAAAACGAAAUUAAGUUAGGUACGGCUAGCUAAAAUAAGGUACGGCUGGACCAUAUUAAGGUAAGGCUGGAUUUUAUUAUAUAAGAAACAACUUCAAAUGCUAAAAAAAAAUUAAUAUAAACGAAAAGCAAUAAGUACGUAGAAGGAGUAGAGUUUACUGGAAAGUAAAGUGUGGGCGAGGUUAAGAAAAAAAUUGUAUGCAAUAUGCUCUACUAGGUUGGCUCCACAUUGUUUUCUGCACAGGAAAAUAAAAAAAUGCUACUUUGAAAGUGAUGCGGUAAAUCUUCUGUCUAACUGAGGUAUAGACAGUGAAUGUCUGAAUAAGGAGUAGAAUUAACGUUUUCGCCAGUUGAAGGACACACGCGUUUUUAUUCGUUGGAUGUUAUAGUUAAUGGAAGAGAUGUAAACUUUUUAUAUAAAACAAAAGAACUUUUAAAAAAUUUUAAUAUUCGUUGUUGUUUAUGAGUGCACGUUAUUUUAAUGAUGGAAAACGAUAAGAAAAAGGAAGAACAUAAUAAAGCCGCGAACAAUGUGUGAGUAAAGGUUUUUGAUUUUUAAUUUUGAUUGUGUUAACUGUGUCCCGAUUUAAUUCAGCAUAUACACUUUUUAUAAAAACAAUUUUUUAUAAGAACAAUAAGGUUAAAAAUUAUUGACAAAUAAGAACGAAAUAACAACUAUACUCAAGGGCAAAAUUUUACUGAUUUUUCUAAAAACAACCAACAAACAUAAAGAAAUAUUUCUUGACAGAAUUAAAAUGAGAAUGCGCUAACACAUUAACAAAUAAGAUGAAAAAUAAUAACCAAGAGAAUCCAAGUCUAGGUGGUUUUUACAAAAAAAACUGUCACUUCAUUCCUCACACACUCUUUUUUUCUAUUACAAGAGCAAAAUAUACACUACUAUUUUCUAUUUUCAACACCUAAAAAAUAUUUUAUGCUCAGAUGAAGUACACUUCUUGGCAUACUAGUUUAAACAUGCAAAAUCACGCCUGGUAUUUUCGGUAUGUUGUCAAAUGUGGUCAGCCCGUGUUAUGAGUUGUCCUUAUUGAAGCAGAAUGCGGAGAUUUUGAUUCUGAUAAGAAAAAGUAGCGAGAAGUUGGGACCGAGGAACAGUCAUACAUAAUGGCAGAUGAUUCUCCAUUUAAAAAACAUUACACGCAAUUGUACUACACAAAAAAAGCUGUUAUCGAAAAGCAAGUUCAUGAAGACAAGGUUUCAAAUUUGUUCUCGCCAACAUUAUGCAACAUUAUGCUGGCAUCGUGGGUCAUUUUGCUGCGUUCUUGCUUUUAAUUCACCAACUGAUUUCGAUAACCAGAGCUUAGAAUCGAUGUUGGCGAAGACAGCAAUAAAAGAUAAGAAAAGCUUAAGGACUGACUUGGUGUUCCUUGUACUUCCAUAUGGUAUUCUUUUAAUUGAUAUCAACGAAGUCAAAUUUUACAAUAUUGGCAAUGAAACGUUUUUGAAUUCAAGUUAGUUUUAUUGUUACUUCACUGCUAUUUUGUAGCGUUUUUAAACUUUUUAAAUGUAAUGAGGUUAUAAGGCUAAAAGUGUUCUUGAAGCGUUCUUUAAAGUCAGGAAACAGGUAACACAGGUUCUUUGAUUUUUGUGACAAAUGUUCUUACCUACUAAGAUACUGUUCUUAACUUGUUCUAAAUUUUAACCUAGAAAUGCAUUAUGUUGUUUUACGGCUUUACAUGCGUACACGUUCGUUCUAGUAAAAUGAUUUAAAGCAGUAGGAGAUGUUUUUUGAAAAGCAUAAAUAUAAUUUCUUCUUAUUUUCUAUUUCAGGUGUGACAUUUGUAAAACUUAUUCAUUUUGCAAAUGUUCUUUAUUUACAAAGGACAGGGAUC